Daphnia magna is the source of this 311-nucleotide long non-coding RNA. RefSeq lists it as uncharacterized. The record is from RefSeq and is a predicted model, not a curated record. NCBI's taxonomy places the organism in Eukaryota, Metazoa, Arthropoda, Branchiopoda, Diplostraca, Daphniidae. The transcript is spliced from 2 exons.
CGCUACGAGCAGCUCUUGCAAUCGAUCGGAUACUCAACCUUGUUACUUGUCGUUGCUUCCUCCAUAUCGCCCUAUUUAUCCGCAUCCUCUUUCAACAACAUCCGCAGCAUCCGGUGCAACUGACGAAUCAAAAACAAGUUGUAGAACCACUAGCCAUUGUGCCGCCAUAGUGACUAUCUGUCCGGGUCCUUCGCAUCCAAACGCAUCGAUCCUAUUCCGCUGCAGUCAGCUGUGAAAGUAGUCGUGUCAGCCAAGAUGUCUGGCUUUAGAGCACUUGGCAACACACACACAAAAAAAAAAAAGGAAAAAGG